GACGUAGGGCGCGAGCGUUGUCCGGAUUUAUUGGGCGUAAAGAGCUCGUAGGCGGCUUGUCGCGUCGACCGUGAAAACCCGCAGCUCAACUGCGGGCUUGCGGUCGAUACGGGCAGGCUCGAGUUCGGUAGGGGAGACUGGAAUUCCUGGUGUAGCGGUGAAAUGCGCAGAUAUCAGGAGGAACACCGGUGGCGAAGGCGGGUCUCUGGGCCGAUACUGACGCUGAGGAGCGAAAGCGUGGGGAGCGAACAGG
This 253-nucleotide ribosomal RNA is filed under the name uncultured bacterium. RNAcentral's name for it is "partial 16S ribosomal RNA". It matches the Rfam family "Bacterial small subunit ribosomal RNA", at positions 524 to 776 of the family's 1533-position model. The record is from RNAcentral.